This 1500-nucleotide ribosomal RNA is filed under the name uncultured bacterium. Its description in RNAcentral is "bacterial SSU rRNA". It matches the Rfam family "Bacterial small subunit ribosomal RNA". The record is from RNAcentral.
AUUAGAGUUUGAUCCUGGCUCAGGAUGAACGCUAGCGGGAGGCCUAAUACAUGCAAGUCGAACGGCAGCAGCGGAGCUUGCUCCGGCUGGCGAGUGGCGCACGGGUGAGUAACGCGUACGCAACCUGCCCCUAACUGGGGGAAAGUCACGGGAAACUGUGAAUAAUCCCGCAUGUGUUCUGGUUGGCGCAUGCUGGUUGGAAUAAAGCUGAGGCGGUUAGGGAUGGGCGUGCGUCUGAUUAGCUAGUUGGUGGGGUAACGGCCCACCAAGGCGAUGAUCAGUAGGGGGCGUGAGAGCGUGAUCCCCCACACGGGUACUGAGACACGGACCCGACUUCUACGGAAGGCAGCAGUAGGGAAUAUUGGACAAUGGGCGCAAGCCUGAUCCAGCCAUCCCGCGUGCAGGAAGAAGGCCCUCAGGGUUGUAAACUGCUUUUGUCAGGGAAGAAACCCCGUGAUUGAUCAUGGGCUGACGGUACCUGACGAAUAAGCACCGGCUAACUCCGUGCCAGCAGCCGCGGUAAUACGGAGGGUGCGAGCGUUAUCCGGAAUCACUGGGUUUAAAGGGUGCGUAGGCGGCCUGGUAAGUCAGGGGUGAAAGUCUGCCGCUUAACGGUAGAAUUGCCUUUGAUACUGUCAGGCUUGAAUGGGCGCGAGGCAGGCGGAAUGUGGCAUGUAGCGGUGAAAUGCAUAGAUAUGCCAUAGAACACCGAUUGCGAAGGCAGCUUGCCAGAGCUCGAUUGACGCUGAGGCACGAAAGCGUGGGGAGCAAACAGGAUUAGAUACCCUGGUAGUCCACGCCCUAAACGAUGCUUACUCGAUGUUCGGCCCAUGCGGUUGAGCGUCCAAGCGAAAGCGCUAAGUAAGCCACCUGGGGAGUACGCCGGCAACGGUGAAACUCAAAGGAAUUGACGGGGGUCCGCACAAGUGGUGGAGCAUGUGGUUUAAUUCGAUGAUACGCGAGGAACCUUACCUGGGCUAGAAUGCGAGCGCUAUCUGCCGAAAGGCGGAGUUCCCCGCGAGGGGACGCGAAGCAAGGUGCUGCAUGGCUGUCGUCAGCUCGUGUCGUGAGAUGUUGGGUUAAGUCCCGCAACGAGCGCAACCCUUGUCCUUAGUUGCCAACAAUUCGGUUGGGGACUCUAAGGAGACUGCCGGCGCAAGCCGCGAGGAAGGUGGGGAUGACGUCAAGUCAUCAUGGCCUUUAUGUCCAGGGCUACACACGUGCUACAAUGGCGGGUACAGCGGGUAGCGAAGCCGUGAGGUGGAGCCAAUCCCUGAAAGCCCGUCCCAGCUCGGAUCGGAGUCUGCAACCCGACUCCAUGAAGUUGGAAUCGCUAGUAAUCGCGCAUCAGCCAUGGCGCGGUGAAUACGUUCCCGGACCUUGUACACACCGCCCGUCAAGCCAUGGGAGCCGGGGGUGCCUGAAGACGGUGAUCCGCUACGGCGGAAGCUGUUUAGGGUAAAACCGGUGACUGGGGCUAAGUCGUAACAAGGUAACCAA